CACAUACACAUAUACACUCACACAUACAUACCACAAACAUCCAAGUGAAAGCCAAAGAAUCGAAUCUAAAACAAAACCAUUUGUUUCGUCAACGGGCUAGGAAAACUACUCUUCCCAAUGUUGGCACGGAUGUCUAUUUCCUUCUAUCUCUCCCAGCCUGGCUGCCCUUGGUUUUAUUUCAGAAAUAUAGUUGAACUGGACAAAGGAAUACACAUGCCUUUGGUUUUUAAUAGCUGUUGAUUAAAAUGGAGCCCAGAGCUCGGUCGGGUCUAUGGUUUCCCUGGCCAUUAAAGCAUUUCCUUUUAGUGGCUUAAUUCACUUUAUUCCCAAUGAUGCCAAAGGGGGAAAUAUAUCUAUAUCUACAUGCCUAUAUACAUUCUGAGCCUAAUUAUGCAGCUGGCCACAUUAAUAACCUGCAUCAAAAGGAGGAUUCAACACCUAAAAGACAGACAGACAGACAGAGCUGCAGUUAUUUGUUGCUAGCAAGUUGCCUGAUCCAGGUGCUGGAGUAUUUGCAUGUCUUUCCACCUUUGUUCCUUCAGAGGCGUGAGGGUCUCAAGCUAUUGCUGACUAAUUGAUAGUUAUAGUAACGGCUACAGGCUCCUUAGAUUAGAAAUGCAUGCAGACGUGUGUCUUGAUUCAAACAUUAAGGAAUGCACACUCUCACUUACACAGGCAGAAAGUCUUCAGACUAAUAGAGGUGUGAUGGGGAUAGCAGGACAUAAAACAGAAGAAGAGAGACACACACACACAGAGACACACAGAGUGAGAGAGAGAGAGAGAGAGAAAGAGAGAGAGAGAGAGAGAGAGAGAGAGAGAGAGAGAGAGAGAGAGAGAGAGAGAGAGAGAUGGCAUGCAGUAAAUAUGCCCCUGCAAAUACUUCUAAAAUGCGUUUGCAAAUGCAGAAGCCUUCAGAACCAUCCAACAGUUCAGAACACCCUUUUUAUUUCUUCUCUGCGGGACGCCUCCAUCCAGACUAUUCGCAAAAAAACGGAAAAGGGAAUCUAGGAAAGUCUUCUGUACCAGAACCCAAAAGGGAUCAUGGCCAAACUCAACCACCCAAGUAAGGAAAAUGAAAGAUGUGGGAAGACAACAUGGUCUAAUUAAUGGAAAUAGUCUAAGGGU
This is a long non-coding RNA of Phascolarctos cinereus (koala), 1125 nucleotides long. NCBI's taxonomy places the organism in Eukaryota, Metazoa, Chordata, Mammalia, Diprotodontia, Phascolarctidae. The record is from Ensembl.